RNAcentral lists this ribosomal RNA (530 nucleotides) under uncultured bacterium. RNAcentral describes it as "partial 16S ribosomal RNA". It matches the Rfam family "Bacterial small subunit ribosomal RNA", at positions 337 to 866 of the family's 1533-position model. The record is from RNAcentral.
CCUUACGGGNGNCACCAGUGGGNANUNUUNCAANGGNGGAAAGUNUGACGGANCAACCCGCGUGAGNGAAGAAGGUUUUGGGUUNGUAAAACUNUUUUGUAGGGGAAGAACAAGUACCAAUUAAAUGCCGGUACCUUGACGGUACCUCACCAGAAAGCCCCGGCUAACUACGUGCCAGCAGCCGCGGUAAUACGUAGGGGGCAAGCGUUGUCCGGAAUUAUUGGGCGUAAAGCGCGCGCAGGCGGUCCUUUAAGUCUGAUGUGAAAGCCCCCGGCUCAACCGUGGAGGGUCAUUGGAAACUGGGGGACUUGAGUGCAGAAGAGGAAAGUGGAAUUCCACGUGUAGCGGUGAAAUGCGUAGAGAUGUGGAGGAACACCCGUGGCGAAGGCGGCUUUCUGGUCUGUAACUGACGCUGAGGCGCGAAAGCGUGGGGAGCAAACAGGAUUAGAUACCCUGGUAGUCCACGCCGUAAACGAUGAGUGCUAAGUGUUAGGGGGNUCCGCCCCUUAGUGCUGCAGNUAACGCAAGCA